Molecule: long non-coding RNA, 225 nt
Filed under: Salvia miltiorrhiza (redroot sage)
Lineage: Eukaryota; Viridiplantae; Streptophyta; Magnoliopsida; Lamiales; Lamiaceae
Description: long non-coding RNA (SMIL_LNC014015)
Source: RNAcentral
CCCAGUUCAGCUGCUUCGGGCAGUGUCGUCACCUCCGCCGCCAAUCAUGACUUCGCCACUGACCACGACAGUGAUCGGAAGCGGCUCUCACGGCCCCAACGUGAAAAUCUACAUUUCAUCAAACAACUUCUCACGGCAAUGCGAGUAAACUCGACGAGAUUGUAAACUCGGCAGCAAGAUGUGACGGAUUUCGGUAUCGAGUUGUUCCCGUCGCCGGCACCCUUG